This is a non-coding RNA of Nelumbo nucifera (sacred lotus), 1616 nucleotides long. The record is from RefSeq and is a predicted model, not a curated record. Lineage: Eukaryota; Viridiplantae; Streptophyta; Magnoliopsida; Proteales; Nelumbonaceae.
UUUUUUCAUUUUCCUAUAAAACAAUUUAUGGCCCGGAUCAUAACCAAACUGUGUACAACAGCUAUGAAAGCCAAUAAUGAAUACAUUAAUUAAAUGUUGAUAAUCUAGGUGUUGCUGAUUUAGUGAUGUGCUCGUGAGUCCGUGAUUGGGAUUUAUAGCUCGUUUUGUUUGUAGCAAAUGCAGGCACCUAGUCAGGGCACCAUUCGCGCAUUCGGAGGAUGCACCACACGUCUCCGUAUGUGAAGAAUAUAUGCGAGCGUUCACAACCAUCCAACCCUCCUCUUCUUUCCUUUUCUCUCGCAGACGAGACAUCUCUCCUCAUCCGCUCGACGGCGAUUUCAUAACUAUCACCGCCGGCGAUAAACAACUAUCACCGGCAGCGGGAUCAACCUCAGUCUUUGUCCAUCAAGAACACCGGCGAUCUCACCGACUCUGGUUUGCUGGCCAUCUCCCGUGGCUGCCCAAAACUGGCCAAAUUCGAGGUUCAAGACUGUAAUAACAUCACAGAGAUGGGAAUGGGGAACUUGGCUGGCAUGCUCCAGAAAACGCUGGUUGAUGUGAACAUCUCUUGCUGCAAAAACCUCGAUGCUGCAUCCUCACUGCGAGGUCUGGUGCCAAUCCGGGAGAGGAUCCAGCGGUUGCACAUAGAUUGUAUAUGGGACAGCCUACAGAAGUCCGAGAUUCCUAGCGAUAAGUCCGCCCCUCGACAUGCUUUCGACCUCAAUGAAUCUGCGGAGGAAGCCAGCACAUCCAAUUGCUCUGCUGCUGGGUUCAUGAAUGAGUCCUAAGAAGAAGACUGCUACUCCCACAGAGGGCAGAGGAGGAACUCCUCCAUUUCACUCCACCCCUCCAUCUCAUCAUCCAAGGCUCUGAAACAGAGCUACACAUUCUUGACAAUCACACCACAAGCAAUAGCAAAUACCCUUCUCGCUCGUCGAAAUAAUUUGCACUUCAACUGCUAUUGCCAGUGCUCUUGAUGAGGGAAUCCCUUGAGACUUUGAAGUCUCAAUCUUUGAUUUUACCUCGGCCACGACUAGCCGAGUGAGAAGCAGUCCUGCCACAAGAGCUGCUGCCAUCAGCAUUGUGAACACUGCACUCCAGCUCUUAGCAGAAAUGUAGCCGUCAACAAUGGCCCAAUUGCAGCUCCCACAGAGCCUGUGCCAUCUAUAAUGGCUGUUACUGUUGCCCAAAUCUGCUGAUCUUUUAGCACUUCAUCUUCAUGGAAGAAGAAGAGAUGCAAAGAAAAUAAUACCUGAGGUUGAUCCCGCUGUCAGUGAUGGUUGUGAAGUGGCCGCUGGGCGGAUGGGGAGAGAGAGGGAGGAGAGAUGUCUCAACUGCGAGAGGAGAGGAGAGGAGGGCGGAUGGUUGUGAAUGCUCACAUGCUUCCGCCGUUCACACUAUUAGGGUGUUUUGUAGUGUGGAUUAGAUAGUGGUGGGUGUGAAUUGGUAUAUAUCACAUUCAGUGGCAUGGACCAAUUUAUACCACACUUCAAUUUAUAUUUGUUCUGAACCGUGGAUAGAUUGUGUGGAAUGGACCAGUGGUGGCGUUUUAUAGGUGUAGUGUGGAUUGGUUCAUACCACACUUUUUGAUUACAUGAGGUACAUUUUAUGUGAGA